RNAcentral lists this ribosomal RNA (301 nucleotides) under uncultured bacterium. RNAcentral describes it as "partial 16S ribosomal RNA". It matches the Rfam family "Bacterial small subunit ribosomal RNA", at positions 509 to 807 of the family's 1533-position model. The record is from RNAcentral.
CAGUCGCCACGGUAAUACGUAGGGUGCGAGCGUUAAUCGGAAUUACUGGGCGUAAAGCGUGCGCAGGCGGUUCGUUAAGACAGAUGUGAAAUCCCCGGGCUUGACCUGGGAACUGCAUUUGUGACUGGCGAGCUAGAGUAUGGCAGAGGGGGGUGGAAUUCCGCGUGUAGCAGUGAAAUGCGUAGAUAUGCGGAGGAACACCGAUGGCGAAGGCAGCCCCCUGGGCCAAUACUGACGCUCAUGCACGAAAGCGUGGGGAGCAAAUGGGAUUAGAUACCCCAGUAGUCCCUGUCUCUUAUAC